CUCCUCUUCUUCUUCUUCUCCUUCUGGAUGACCCCUGCGGUUGGAUUGGUUUCUGCAGGCAGGCCAUCACAAUGGAAAUGGAAGGAUGAGCACCAUGGCAGGCGUGCAGGCACGGUUUACACAAACACAUCCUGUUUCAAUGGCUCAAACUGUUGGUCCUCCCAUGGCAAUGUUCCCUGCUGGUGGUCAUGGAGUUAGUCAGCAACUUUUUUAUGAUCUGAGAAAGAAGAGAAGAAGAAUCCUAAGGAAGA
Long non-coding RNA from Triticum aestivum (bread wheat), 251 nucleotides. RefSeq lists it as uncharacterized. The transcript is spliced from 3 exons. NCBI's taxonomy places the organism in Eukaryota, Viridiplantae, Streptophyta, Magnoliopsida, Poales, Poaceae. The record is from RefSeq and is a predicted model, not a curated record.